AUUGAACGCUGGCGGCAUGCCUAACACAUGCAAGUCGAACGGCAGCACAGCAGUAGCAAUACUGUGGGUGGCGAGUGGCGGACGGGUGAGGAAUACGUCGGAAUCUGCCCAGUCGUGGGGGAUAACUAGCCGAAAGGUUAGCUAAUACCGCAUACGACCGAGAGGUGAAAGCGGGGGACCGCAAGGCCUCGCGCGAUUGGAUGAGCCGACGUCGGAUUAGCUAGUUGGCGGGGUAAAGGCCACCAAGGCGACGAUCCGUAGCUGGUCUGAGAGGAUGAUCAGCCACACUGGAACUGAGACACGGUCCAGACUCCUACGGGAGGCAGCAGUGGGGAAUAUUGGACAAUGGGCGCAAGCCUGAUCCAGCAAUGCCGCGUGUGUGAAGAAGG
Molecule: ribosomal RNA, 389 nt
Filed under: uncultured bacterium
Lineage: Bacteria
Description: bacterial SSU rRNA
Rfam family: Bacterial small subunit ribosomal RNA
Source: RNAcentral